RNAcentral lists this ribosomal RNA (762 nucleotides) under Mecolaesthus cf. taino Car104. Its description in RNAcentral is "partial 28S ribosomal RNA". It matches the Rfam family "Eukaryotic large subunit ribosomal RNA", at positions 376 to 881 of the family's 3401-position model. The record is from RNAcentral. Lineage: Eukaryota; Metazoa; Arthropoda; Arachnida; Araneae; Pholcidae.
UUUGAGAGAGAGUUCAAGAGUACGUGAAACUGCUCAGAGGCAAACGGGUGGGCCCUCGAAAUCCCACUGCGGAGAGAUUCAGUCGGCACCGGACCUGGCGCGGCGGCUUGCCGGACCCGACCAGGGUCGGCGCCUGCAGCGCGGUCGGGUUCGGUUCCGACGCACUUCUCUCCGCACCGAGGACGCCGCGACCGAUCGGGUAGCAGCGAGAGUCGGCCUUGCGGCGGCUCCAGGCAGGUGGCCGGUCGGGGACUUCGCGUCCCCGCCGGUUAUUCACGGAGCCCGUCCGUGGCGCGACACCCGAUCGAGGUCAACGUUCUCCCCACGGAGAACCGAUCGUCUCCGUCUCUCUCGAGACGCGGCGCACCGAGCCAGUGAGCGCCCGCGACGGUGAACCACUGCGGCAGUGGCCGGCGCGCGGGUGGCCGUCGAUGGGCUCGGGCAAAGCCGCGUGGAGACGCGCGAUCCGCGGCGAGUAGGUCGGUCACCCACCCGACCCGUCUUGAAACACGGACCAAGGAGUCUAACAUGUGCGCGAGUCGCAGGGUCUUGAACAGGCCCCCGGGCGCAAUGAAAGUGAAGGUCCUCCCCCGCGGGGACCGAGUUGGGACUCCGACACUCGUCGGAAGCACCAACGGCCCGCCCGCACCGGUCCGCCGGUGGGGCGGAGUCUGAGCGCACACGUUGGGACCCGAAAGAUGGUGAACUAUGCCUGGGCAGGAACGGAAGCCAGGAGGGAAACUCUGGUGGGAGGUUCGCAGC